CGUAAACUUGUUUUUUCCCCUUAAUGUGUCAAAGUUAACCAGAGCUGGGAAAGCAAAACAGUCUGGCUGGAUUCUGAUCCUCUUUACUGUCAUGCCAGAGCCAAUGUCUUUACUCAGAAAUUGGUCCAAGAGUAUAAAGUAGGUCUGUAAUCAUGCAAGACUGAUUAGCUCCACUGUCCUCAUGCAUGCACAAGGAGAUACCCAUGUUAGAAGUUGGGACAUUUGGAAGUGUUGAUAUUCAGGUUUUGGUUUUCCCCUCCAAGUAAACCUACAUGAGAGCCCUGACUUUAUUUUGGGAAAUCCCUUGAAUGUGAUUACACUUGAGUAAUUGUAUUGUUUGAUAUAAAGGAAUUUCCUCCUCUCACCCAGUUUUCAGCCGUGUCAGGUUCACAAAGUAAAACUGUCUUGCUACAAGAUGUGUGUAUAUAUAACUAAUUAUAGGUGUACAGCACAGGUAACUAAAUGAACUAUUCUAGUGUAGCCGUGAUGGAGAACUUAACGUUAAGCCAGUGAAACAUUCAAUAUCACUUGCCCAUCCCAUUUAUUAAAAUCUGUCAAAUGGAAAGAUUUUGCUGUAGCAUUUACACUUGACAUUGUGAAUGAGAAUUUAAACAUUAUGGGGAACUGUAACUUCACUACAAAUGGCAACAUUGUUUCUUUGAUUCUAUUUUGAAGAGGAAGAUGAUCUUACUGCACUAAUAAAGCCAAGAUGAGGCACUCUUACAGAAUCCAGUUUUGGGGAUUUCUAAAUGUAAUUAGAUCUCAAACUGUUAAGGGAACAAUUACAUUGUUAUAUUUAAAUAUAUUCUAAGCAUAUAAUAGGCUGUAUAGAGUUUUAGAUUAAACAUUUGGAAAGAUCUUUUCCUUUCUUCAAACUAAGGCAACAGACACUUUCUCAGCAUUAAGAUUAAUGCAUAUAUGCAAAAAAUCCUUUCACACAAAAUGUAAUCUUGUAUUAUAAAGCAUGUUAUUGGGGAAGAAAGCUUAAAUUGCUAGGAGUUUUACUGUCCACUUACCUAGGGGUUACAUAUACAUACACUUACUCCCAGUUAGGUUGAUGGACAUUGGUUCGGUUUCAGAAUCCUCUGUGCACUGGCAAGCUUCAUAAGUUCUGACAUGUGACAGAAUACUAAAACUUUAGCAGUGAAGCUGGCUGUAGCAUACCAAAGUCAUACAAUACUACUGUCAGCCUCUUUAUUGACAUUCUUUACUUUUGUCUUGCACCAGUAUGUCUUAGUACAUUGUUGUGCAGUACCAUGAAAUAAGCAACCAGUAAUACAAAAAGUGUCAGACCUUUUGUGCUGAUG
This is a non-coding RNA of Pelobates cultripes (western spadefoot toad), 1307 nucleotides long. NCBI's taxonomy places the organism in Eukaryota, Metazoa, Chordata, Amphibia, Anura, Pelobatidae. The record is from the annotation of a GenBank genome assembly.